AGUGACGUCUGCCCGGUGAAGUUUUUAACGGCCGCAGUACUUUGACUGUGCUAAGGUAGCAAAAUAAAUAGGCUUUUAAUUGGAGUCGAGUAUGAAUGACGUUUUGGUUUACUCCUGUCUCCCUUAUUACAACUUAAUUUACUGAGUAGGUGAAAAUUCCUCCGCACACAUAUAAGACGAGAAGACCCUAAGAAUUUUUAAUAAGUAACUGGUUUUUAGUUCUUUUUUGUUGGGGCGACAAUAUGGCACCUUAAACCCAUAUUAUAAAGAUAACGUGUAACACAUUUAAUUAAGUACCAGAGAAUAUAAUUACCUUAGGGAUACAGCAUAAUUUUAUUAGAUGUGACCUCGAUGUUGGACUAGGGACCUGUUGUAUUAACCAUAUA
This 386-nucleotide ribosomal RNA is filed under the name Arion fasciatus. RNAcentral's name for it is "partial 16S large subunit ribosomal RNA". It matches the Rfam family "Archaeal large subunit ribosomal RNA", at positions 1943 to 2633 of the family's 2987-position model. The record is from RNAcentral. Lineage: Eukaryota; Metazoa; Mollusca; Gastropoda; Stylommatophora; Arionidae.